RNAcentral lists this ribosomal RNA (520 nucleotides) under uncultured Glomus. RNAcentral describes it as "SSU rRNA". It matches the Rfam family "Eukaryotic small subunit ribosomal RNA", at positions 569 to 1089 of the family's 1831-position model. The record is from RNAcentral. Lineage: Eukaryota; Fungi; Glomeromycota; Glomeromycetes; Glomerales; Glomeraceae.
AGCAGCCGCGGUAAUUCCAGCUCCAAUAGCGUAUAUUAAAGUUGUUGCAGUUAAAAAGCUCGUAGUUGAAUUUCGGGGUUAGUAGGUUGGUCGUGCCACUGGUACGUACUGGUCUCACUGAUUCCUCCUUCCUGAUGAACUGUAAUGCCAUUAAUUUGGUGUUGCAGGGAAACUGGACUGUUACUUUGAAAAAAUUUAGAGUGUUUAAAGCAAGCUAACGCUUGAAUACAUUAGCAUGGAAUAAUGAAAUAGGACGUUCGAUCCUAUUUUGUUGGUUUCUAGGAUUGACGUAAUGAUUAAUAGGGAUAGUUGGGGGCAUUAGUAUUCAAUUGUCAGAGGUGAAAUUCUUGGAUUUAUUGAAGACUAACUACUGCGAAAGCAUUUGCCAAGGAUGUUUUCAUUAAUCAAGAACGAAAGUUAGGGGAUCGAAGACGAUCAGAUACCGUCGUAGUCUUAACCAUAAACUAUGCCGACUAGGGAUCGGAUGAUGUUAAUUUUUUAAUGACUCAUUCGGCGCCUU